RNAcentral lists this long non-coding RNA (1660 nucleotides) under Homo sapiens (human). RNAcentral's name for it is "HSALNT0336544". The record is from RNAcentral. Lineage: Eukaryota; Metazoa; Chordata; Mammalia; Primates; Hominidae.
CUAUAUACAAGUUGCAGUGGCAUAAAAAAACAAACAACUAGUCCUAACUGGAGAGGUAACAGUUGCUUGUUCACUGGGUUGGCCAAACUGCAAAAUGAACAAAAGUGGAGUCAGAAAGCAAAACAGUAUGAUAGAAUUUGAGAAACCUCAAGAAAAUCAGUAUCUAGCUCUAAAAUGGUAGAGUACAAACUGUGACAAAGGAGAGUACCAAGAAAUAAGGCUAUAGAGGUAGGUAGUAGCUACCUAUCUUGACCACAGAGCAGUGUAGGCAUUAGGAAACCAGGUUCAUAGUUUAGACAGAUCUGUCUGGCAACAAUGUAAAAUGGAUUAGGGGGAGGGGAUGAGAAAGAUGGUUGUCAGAGAGACCAGUAUAGGUGACGGGUUAUGAAAACUUAAAUUAAGGCAAUAGUGCAAUGGAGAUAGAAGGGCAGGAAUGUUAGAUGUAGUAAGCAGAUGACAGAACUGAUAGCACUCAAUCAUCAUCAACUUGAGUGAUGGGCAGGGAUUGGGCACAGGCGCCAGAUGAAGGAAAAAGCAGAGUGGAGAAUAAAUUCUGGGUUCAAGUGACAGGUGAAUGGUGGUGUUACUCACUGAGAAGAGGAACCGGUUCAGGGAGGGAAGGAAAGUGUGUUCUGGUUUUGAAUGUGUAGAGUCUGUGAUGCAUUUGAAAUAGCCAGUUCUAAUAUACAUGGGAAUAUAAUCUGGAGCCCAGAGGAGAUAAAUGUCUGGGUAAAGGAGAUAAAUGUCUAGGUGAAAGGUAUGGCAGUAACAGAAAAAACAGGAGUGGAUAAGAUCACUCAGAUAAAGUACUGAAUAAAAAGAAACAAACACAAAACCAGUAACAAAAGGCUUCUGGGGAUACCAAUAAUUAAGUGGCAGAGAAGUCCACAGAAGACAGAGACUGAGCAGUCAUAAAGGCAGAAGCAGAACCUAGAGAAUGAUGUCAUGGAAACCAAGGUAGUGCACAGUUUUCAGAAGGACAGGGUGAGUAAAUGGAGCCAUGAAGUGACUGGUUUUUCACAAAUCAACUGGCUGGUAAAACUUUCACAAUGCCAAAUAUAAGGUUUGGGGGUACACGUACUUACAACUGUAUUAAUUGAGACCCACGAGGCAAGAGAAGCACCUAGAAGAACAGAAUUACAAGGAAGAGAAUGGGGUUAGAAAUUUGUAGAAGACCGAGAAAGGUCUAAUGUAUAACAAUUUUUAAAACUUCAUGUGGAAAAAUUAUUCAUUUCACCAGUGACAUUAGGAUCUACUUAUGACCUCUGGUAAGGAGCAACACUGGUAAGACAAACACAUCCUAUUAUUUAUUGGGGCUUUCUUAGGAUUAAAGGUAAAUGUGCUGGUGUGACAGUUUACCCUGUGAUCUAUCAGAAUAGAAAACCUUACAUACUGUUGGCACUGGUGGUGACCAUAUAAUACAAUUCCCUUUUUACAGAUGAGGCCCAAAGAUCUUUAGUGACUUAACAAGUCACAAAAUCAGAAGUGGAAUUUGAAUCUAGAUCAUCUGACUGAAAAUCAACUUUCUUUCAGUUCUUUGUUAUGACUCAUUAUCAGGUUCUUAUUUUAGUAACCAGCUGUGCUUGGUCCCCAUCAACCAAGCCUGCUCUUGCCUUAGCAAAUGACCCUGUACAUUACAGAGGUAAACAUGAUAAACCAA